This 108-nucleotide small nuclear RNA is filed under the name Otolemur garnettii (small-eared galago). The record is from RNAcentral. Lineage: Eukaryota; Metazoa; Chordata; Mammalia; Primates; Galagidae.
CUGCUCGCUUCGGCAGCACAUAUACUAAAAAUUGGAACGAUACAGAGAAUAUUAGCAUGGCCCCUGUGCAAGGAUGACACACAAAUUCGUGAAGCGUUCCAUAUUUUU